Long non-coding RNA from Scophthalmus maximus (turbot), 435 nucleotides. RefSeq lists it as uncharacterized. NCBI's taxonomy places the organism in Eukaryota, Metazoa, Chordata, Actinopteri, Pleuronectiformes, Scophthalmidae. The record is from RefSeq and is a predicted model, not a curated record. The transcript has 3 exons.
GUGUGUGGCAGCUGUCUAUUAGUAGUGAAGAUAAAACCAUAGAUAAAAUCAUUUAGUGGGUGCAUGUGCUGGUGGGAUUCUCUGUAAUUCUUCUACAUGGACAAGGUGAUUGAACACUGGUGGGGAUAACGUCUUUGAGAAGUGUUUUUCAUGAUCAGGCGGACGAGACUUGUGUGAGCAGACGUGUUGUGACAGGAGCCGGUGGUCUGAGAUGGAUUGUAUUCACAGAUCCCCUCCUUCCUCAUGAUGAUGAUCACGCUGUGGCUUGGCUCUUGCACUGGGGGCAGGUGCUGUUUUGGAGCUGCUGCCCUAAGGGGGUUUGUUGUGAAUGAGCCUCGCCCUGUUUCUUUAAUCAAGUAAGUGUGGCACAUAAAAAAACACUAAAUAUAUAAAACCAUGCGACCAUGGGGGAGUGUAACAAGUAUUUUAUUUUAC